RNAcentral lists this transfer RNA (75 nucleotides) under bacterium. Its description in RNAcentral is "tRNA-Arg". It matches the Rfam family "tRNA". Rfam says of the family: Transfer RNA (tRNA) molecules are approximately 80 nucleotides in length. Their secondary structure includes four short double-helical elements and three loops (D, anti-codon, and T loops). The record is from RNAcentral. RNAcentral also lists the same sequence under 1 other name.
GCCCGCGUAGCUCAGUGGAAGAGCAGUAGCCUUCUAAGCUAAAGGUCGAUGGUUCGAUCCCAUCCGCGGGUACCA